UACGUAGGGUGCGAGCGUUGUCCGGAAUUAUUGGGCGUAAAGAGCUCGUAGGCGGUCUGUCGCGUCGGUCGUGAAAACUUGGGGCUUAACCCUGAGCUUGCGGUCGAUACGGGCAUGACUGGAGUUCGGCAGGGGAGACUGGAAUUCCUGGUGUAGCGGUGAAAUGCGUAGAUAUCAGGAGGAAUACCGGUGGCGAAAGCGACUCUCUGGACGGUAACUGACGCUGAGGCACGAAAGCGUGGGGAGCGAUCCGG
Molecule: ribosomal RNA, 254 nt
Filed under: uncultured bacterium
Lineage: Bacteria
Description: partial 16S ribosomal RNA
Rfam family: Bacterial small subunit ribosomal RNA
Source: RNAcentral